Molecule: ribosomal RNA, 1287 nt
Filed under: metagenome
Description: bacterial SSU rRNA
Rfam family: Bacterial small subunit ribosomal RNA
Source: RNAcentral
UAGCUAGUUGGUGAGGUAAAGGCUUACCAAGGCGACGAUCUGUAGCGGGUCUGAGAGGAUGAUCCGCCACACUGGAACUGAGACACGGUCCAGACUCCUACGGGAGGCAGCAGUGGGGAAUUUUGGACAAUGGGGGCAACCCUGAUCCAGCCAUGCCGCGUGAGUGAAGAAGGCCUUCGGGUUGUAAAGCUCUUUCGGCCGGGAAGAAAUCGCAUGGGCCAAUACCCUGUGUGGAUGACGGUACCGGAAUAAGAAGCACCGGCUAACUACGUGCCAGCAGCCGCGGUAAUACGUAGGGUGCGAGCGUUAAUCGGAAUUACUGGGCGUAAAGCGUGCGCAGGCGGUUUUGUAAGACAGGCGUGAAAUCCCCGGGCUUAACCUGGGAACUGCGUUUGUGACUGCAAGGCUAGAGUACGGCAGAGGGGGGUGGAAUUCCACGUGUAGCAGUGAAAUGCGUAGAGAUGUGGAGGAACACCAAUGGCGAAGGCAGCCCCCUGGGUCGAUACUGACGCUCAUGCACGAAAGCGUGGGUAGCAAACAGGAUUAGAUACCCUGGUAGUCCACGCCCUAAACUAUGUCAACUAGGUGUUGGGUGGGUAAAACCAUUUAGUACCGUAGCUAACGCGUGAAGUUGACCGCCUGGGGAGUACGGCCGCAAGGUUAAAACUCAAAGGAAUUGACGGGGACCCGCACAAGCGGUGGAUGAUGUGGAUUAAUUCGAUGCAACGCGAAAAACCUUACCUACCCUUGACAUGCCAGGAACUUGCCAGAGAUGGCUUGGUGCCCGAAAGGGAGCCUGGACACAGGUGCUGCAUGGCUGUCGUCAGCUCGUGUCGUGAGAUGUUGGGUUAAGUCCCGCAACGAGCGCAACCCUUGUCGUUAAUUGCCAUCAUUUAGUUGGGCACUAUAACGAGACUGCCGGUGACAAACCGGAGGAAGGUGGGGAUGACGUCAAGUCCUCAUGGCCCUUAUGGGUAGGGCUUCACACGUCAUACAAUGGUCGGUACAAAGGGUUGCCAAGCCGCGAGGCGGAGCCAAUCCCAGAAAGCCGAUCGUAGUCCGGAUUGCAGGCUGCAACUCGCCUGCAUGAAGUCGGAAUCGCUAGUAAUCGUGGAUCAGCAUGUCACGGUGAAUACGUUCCCGGGUCUUGUACACACCGCCCGUCACACCAUGGGAGCGGGUUCCGCCAGAAGUAGGUAGCCUAACCGCAAGGGGGGCGCUUACCACGGCGGGGUUCGUGACUGGGGUGAAGUCGGAACAAGGUAGCCGUAGGGGAACCUGCGGCUG